This 1135-nucleotide long non-coding RNA is filed under the name Bos indicus x Bos taurus (hybrid cattle). Its description in RNAcentral is "lncRNA (ENSBIXG00005006059.1)". The record is from RNAcentral. Lineage: Eukaryota; Metazoa; Chordata; Mammalia; Artiodactyla; Bovidae.
UUCCAGGUAGGAUGAAGUGUCUGCGAUUGUUUCAUUUCUUUAUUGACUAGUUUCUGCUCCUUGCUCUUCACUGAAAAUGCAUGGGUAUCACAAUAAGGGAGACUGUGUCUAUCAACAAAUAAUUUAAAAAAUCCCGUUAGGACAAUUACGUUUUCCCUUGUCUCCUCAAAAGAGGCUUCUCUGCCAGCAUAUAUGAAGGAUGAGACAGUAACCGUGAUGGCAGCUGAUUUACUGAGGGGUGUUCUGUGUAAGCACCGAAGAAUUGAUGCUUUUGAACUGUGGCGUUGGAGAAGACUCUUGAGAGUCCCUUGGAUUGCAAGGAGAUCCAACCAGUCCAUCCUAAAGGAGAUCAGUCCUGAAUAUUCACUGGAAGGACUGAUGCUGAAGCUGAAACUCCAAUACUCUGGUCACCUGAAGUGAAGAACUGACUCACUGGAAAAGCCCCUGAUGCUGCGAAAGACUGAAGGCAGGAGGAGAAGGGGACGACAGAGGAUGAGAUGGCUGGAUGGCAUCACUGACUCAAUGUACAUGAGUUUGAGUGAACUCCGGGAGUGGGUGAUGGACAGGAAGGGCUGGCGUGCUGCAGGCCACGGGGUCGCAGGGAGCGGGACAUGGCUGAUUGGCUGACCUGAGCUGUUCUGUGUAAGAGAAUAUGCUCAGUGCUCAGCAUGGAUGCUUGUUAAUGCUUGUCAUUCUCCUAGGAGAUAAAUCCUGUAUUGUACAGAUGAGGAAACCAAAGCUCUCUACUUCUAGAAAAGGCUCACCACGCCAGAGAGAAAUCCAGUUCCCGUUAGAAGACAGGCUGUGUGUUAGCUGUCUUACAGGGGAAGGUCUCUCCUCUUUGAAGGAUGAAAUGUUCUCUUCAGUCACCUCUUCCUAUUCUCAGCCUGUCCACGCAUGUCUCCAUCCACGUGGAGUGGGUUUUACUCCUGGUGGGCACAGGGUCUGCAUUUCUCCCCUUCAUUCCAGUGAUGCCGGCGUCUCACGUCCAGCUGCUGUUCCCGCCCCAGGCCGCCUUCCCGUCGGGAUCUGGACCAGCCUCGGCCACUCUGCUGGGUCCUCCCGUGGGUUCCUGGGUUCAGGCCUGUGGUUGGGAUUCCCUGGCGAUGCUGGAAGUUUUCAAGCUGAAAAGGUC